RNAcentral lists this ribosomal RNA (397 nucleotides) under uncultured bacterium. RNAcentral's name for it is "bacterial SSU rRNA". It matches the Rfam family "Bacterial small subunit ribosomal RNA", at positions 121 to 507 of the family's 1533-position model. The record is from RNAcentral.
GUAUCUGCCCUUUGGUUGGGGGAUAGCCUAUGGAAACAUGGGGUAAUACCGAAUAAGCUCUUUUUGCUAUGGUGAUUAGAGGAAAAAGGCAUUAGCCUUGCCGAAGGAUGAGUCUGCGUCUGAUUAGCUAGUUGGUGUGGUAAUGGCGCACCAAGGCGACGAUCAGUAGCCGGCCUGAGAGGGUGACCGGCCACAUUGGGACUGAGACACGGCCCAGACUCCUACGGGAGGCAGCAGCUAAGAAUCUUCCGCAAUGGGCGCAAGCCUGACGUAGCGACGCCGCGUGGGUGAAGAAUGCCGAGAGGUUGUAAAACCCUUUUCUUACAGAAGAAUAAUAAUCGGAGGUAAUGCCGGUUAGAUGACGUUAUGUAAGGAAUAAGCACCGGCCAAUUACGUG